This 1040-nucleotide long non-coding RNA is filed under the name Elaeis guineensis (African oil palm). RNAcentral's name for it is "long non-coding RNA (EGUI_LNC018117)". Lineage: Eukaryota; Viridiplantae; Streptophyta; Magnoliopsida; Arecales; Arecaceae. The record is from RNAcentral.
GUCCCCAUGUUCCUUGGCAUGCCUGGCAGUAUUCCCAUGGGAAAUGAAGGUCGCCCGCUCUUGAAACGAGGUGUAUAUAAAACCAAGGUAUGGGCUGUUCUCUGUCCUAGGAUCCUAAAGAUGGGAAACAACUAACUCAUUAAUUGAUGCGAUGUAGUUGAUUAAAUAUAAAAUAUCAUGACUUCAAGCAAGCUAAAGCAUUGUGAUCGCCUACAUGCCACCCAAAUUGAUAAUGGAAGUAAUCACCGCAUAGAACUAUUUAUUAACAAAUACAAAAUGAUAUAUUUUAAUAUGUUCGAUCCAGAUAAAUGGAACAAUUAACCAAGAAUGGGCUAAAGAGACCUCAAUGAACACAUCAAAGAACUCAGGCAUAACUUGGUAUCAACUGAACUGUUUUUGGAGUGAGACAGAGUUGCUCAAGCAAGAAAGAUGCCUGUAUCUUCAGAUAACAAUUAUAUCUUGGUGAAGUUUCUCCAUGAUUGGUGACAUAUGAAGCCUUUUCAGGCAAGCAUAAUGCACCGUCACUAUAUAUGAAUUUGAUAACGUUAUAAUCAUAAGCAAGGAAAAUAUUACGUAAAGAAAUUGAGCAAGUACCAGCAUGUGGGGCGAAAACUUACCAUUCCGGAACCUAUCAGAUAUUGGAUUGUUUUCUCAAUUUGCCUCAUGUCCACUCUACCAGAAAGGUAUAGAUACUUGUUGAGAAGGUCUCCAUGUCUGUUCUCCUCAGCAGUCCAAGCCCUUGUCCAGAUAGCCCAAGAAGUAAGGCUUGCCCCUGUCUCAUCUCGAACUCCAUCAAGUGUGUUAAGCAUUGUUUGAUAUGUAGGAAGAGCUUCUUCAGUAAUCAUAUCUCCAACCAGGCAAACAUAAUAAUCAUCAGGGAUCUCCUUGGAGCGUUCUCUCAGUUCCUUAAUCUCUUCAUGAAAUCCUUCUGAUGAUGGAUCAGGCAGAAAAUCCUGGGGCUGCCAACACUUCUCAACAGGCUUGAGAUGCACCAAUAUAUUAUUUUCUGCCCAGUCCUCUAAUGACUUAAAAAUCUCAAU